UACGGAGGGGGCAAGCGUUGUUCGGAAUUACUGGGCGUAAAGCGCGUGUAGGCGGCUUGUUAUGCCAGGGGUGAAAGCCCUCGGCCUAACCGAGGAAGUGCGCCUAAAACUGCCAAGCUUGAGUACGUGAGAGGAUGGCGGAAUUCCCAGUGUAGAGGUGAAAUUCGUAGAUAUUGGGAAGAACACCGGUGGCGAAGGCGGUUCUCUGGAUCGAUACUGACGCUAAGGCGCGAAAGCGUGGGGAGCAAACAGG
Molecule: ribosomal RNA, 253 nt
Filed under: uncultured bacterium
Lineage: Bacteria
Description: partial 16S ribosomal RNA
Rfam family: Bacterial small subunit ribosomal RNA
Source: RNAcentral